AUUGAAGCGGUUAAACAAACACCUAAUGCAACUGACGAAGAAAAGCAGGCUGCUGUUAAUCAAAUCAAUCAACUUAAAGAUCAAGCAUUUAAUCAAAUUAAUCAAAACCAAACAAAUGAUCAGGUAGACACAACUACAAAUCAAGCGUUAAAUGCUAUAGAUAAUGUUGAAGCUGAAGUAGUAAUUAAACCAAAGGCAAUUGCAGAUAUUGAAA
This 214-nucleotide small RNA is filed under the name Staphylococcus aureus. Its description in RNAcentral is "5'UTR". The record is from RNAcentral. Lineage: Bacteria; Bacillati; Bacillota; Bacilli; Caryophanales; Staphylococcaceae.